GACGAACGCUGGCGGCGUGCUUAACACAUGCAAGUCGAACGGAAAGGCCCUGCUUUUGUGGGGUGCUCGAGUGGCGAACGGGUGAGUAACACGUGAGUAACCUGCCCUUGACUUUGGGAUAACUUCAGGAAACUGGGGCUAAUACCGGAUAGGAGCUCCUGCUGCAUGGUGGGGGUUGGAAAGUUUCGGCGGUUGGGGAUGGACUCGCGGCUUAUCGGCUUGUUGGUGGGGUAGUGGCUUACCAAGGCUUUGACGGGUAGCCGGCCUGAGAGGGUGACCGGCCACAUUGGGACUGAGAUACGGCCCAGACUCCUACGGGACGCAGCAGUGGGGAAUAUUGCACAAUGGGCGGAAGCCUGAUGCAGCAACGCCGCGUGAGGGAUGACGGCCUUCGGGUUGUAAACCGCUUUCGCCUGUGACGAAGCGUGAGUGACGGUAAUGGGUAAAGAAGCACCGGCUAACUACGUG
This 468-nucleotide ribosomal RNA is filed under the name uncultured bacterium. Its description in RNAcentral is "partial 16S ribosomal RNA". It matches the Rfam family "Bacterial small subunit ribosomal RNA", at positions 28 to 507 of the family's 1533-position model. The record is from RNAcentral.